GGUGGUGGAGUAGUGACUAAUGCUGGCCAUGAAACUUUAAGCAACGGGAUUGGAUGUCUUUUUUUCAUCAUGCUUAAAAUGAAAAGGGAGCAUGGGAAGCCACAGGAGGCACCUGUCCCACUUUCAGCGUCCCGGCACCAGCUGACGUGAGAGCACCGGCGUGGGGGACGAAGGAGUCAAGGCGCACAAAAGAGGGGGAAGCCAGGGAGAAAUGCAGCAGAGGGCAGGCUACUCAAAACACCAGCAAAACACCAGCAACGAGUCCAGCACAGACCUGAGCACAGACACCGCUUUCAGAGCUUGGAAGGUAUUUAGCCAGGUCCAUAGGCCCAAUGAGAUGCCCUGGUAUGUAUUGCCAAUGGUCUAAUUAUCAGCAGGCCAGCAUUGAUCAUAUUUUCAGUUAGUCGUUUACGUGGGUGUUCAGUCAUACUUGUUGUAGCCUACUUCUCAAUGCAAAGACUUCAUCAGGAAUACAGGAUCCUACAUGUAUGGUCCAUUCCAUCAGUAGAAGUUUUUGAAAUUAUAACCUUUCUAUCAUCUUAUGUUGUGAGGAAUGUAGAACAUAGGUUUUUUAAAAUGUGUUCAAAAAGGCUGAAAGUCUGAUUUCAGACUCAGUUCUUAGUGGGUAUGUUUGCAGUGCACAUUCCUUUUCGACAGAUUGCAAAUACCACAGAAAUGAUUCUGUACUUCAACAGACCAAUGAAUAUUUCAUAUCCUGAUAUCACUUUUAAGGCAAAAUGAAUUAAUGAAACUAAGUUGAUAGGGCAUAUCUUACAUCAGCUCAAUUAUAACACGCUGUAAAUUCGAAAUGUUAAUAAUUAUUGAACGGAAUAAUUGUAUAUUAAACAGAAAAAGCUGAAUGUUAAUCAUGGCCUAUUAGUGGCACUUUAGUAGUUUCAGAUGAACUCCCGGCUGUAUUUCAAACACUCGAUGGGAUAAUGUGGAACUGAACUCGAAUGCCAUUUGGAAAAAAAGGUGUUCAUUGAAAAGCCUGAAGACUAAGAAAGGCGGUGGGUAAACCCUCCGACAACAGAACGGUGCAGCAUGACGGGCAUCUCGGACUGGCCAGCUAUUCUUUCCAUCCCUCACCUAGGCUCUGAAAUGGAAAUGGCUUCUUUUGCUCAUUAUUGUCAGUUUCUCUGUUUCCAAGGCUGU
Long non-coding RNA from Anguilla rostrata (American eel), 1155 nucleotides. RefSeq lists it as uncharacterized. Lineage: Eukaryota; Metazoa; Chordata; Actinopteri; Anguilliformes; Anguillidae. The transcript has 2 exons. The record is from RefSeq and is a predicted model, not a curated record.